Drosophila obscura is the source of this 997-nucleotide long non-coding RNA. RefSeq lists it as uncharacterized. The record is from RefSeq and is a predicted model, not a curated record. Lineage: Eukaryota; Metazoa; Arthropoda; Insecta; Diptera; Drosophilidae. The transcript is spliced from 2 exons.
GUGUGGCACGGCGGAAUGGAAUUGAGGUGAUUUUCCAGCGGAAGUGAUUUCUGUGGCACCCCUGUAUAUUUGACAGCCCUGUAAGGGCCAACUUUAUACAAAAAUACUAAGUUCGAAUAAACACGAUCCUGUUUUAUAUGGAUAAAAAAACUGACAAACCUUUUCUGUUACUCUGAAUAUUUAUUAUAUAAGUAUGUGAGUUAAAGUAGGUUGUGCUAUUGUAAUUAUUUGUGAUAAGGGUUUUUCCUCACUUACACUCAUCGAGUCACACAGUAUACAACGAUCUGGAAAAAUCACAAUAAAUUCGAAACUUUUCAAAAUCUGAACUGAAAAAACCUGAGAUCAUGCCACAGCGACGAAGCGCUCGCAUAACGGAUCAGCGUGCUGAUGAUACUCGCACCCGUACCGCUGCACAGCGUCCUUCUACCCGUCGUGCUACCCGUGCUGCGCGCUCUGCGCUACAAUUUCUAACAUUUCUGGGAAUAAUAUGUCCAACUGAGUAUGUCCUCCCUCAUAGGGCGUGUCAGAAGGGCCAAGAAUGGUGGCCAACCAGUGGUGUGUAUCGUCCUCAACUAUCUCCACCUGGCAACCGUCCGCUGGAUUGAACAUCAUUUCGUUCAUCUCGCGGCUAAGACGGAUUGCGUUGGCAGGAAAACUAGAACUGGAUAGAGGCUGUUGCUCCUGACCCUGUGCCCCGUUCUGUGUCCUACUACUUGGCCUGCCCUGGGGUAGAGUCUGUGAAACAACUGUGGCGAUAUUUUGCAGUUCAGUAUCGAAUGCAGUCUCUCGCCGAAGUAUUUGUCGAACUUCAGGGGCAGCACGCUGUGCAGAUAGGAGCCAGGGAGUGGACCACACGUUACGCUACUCCCGAGGCAUUUUAAAUUAUACUUUAUUUAUACAUAAUACACAGUAAUACAACCCCAUGUACCCACAUUCAUUCCCAGAUACAUAUAUGUAUACAUAUACAUCUGUAUACAGAUAAAUAUAAACAUGCUCA